AUGGUUGCCUGCUUUGAUUUUGUUCGUUUAACUCUGGCUGGUGAUCUUCAUAUACUGUUGUAUCCAUAUCGUGCCAGCAGUUAUCAUAUUAUAUUGACAUUCUUUUUGCCCCUCCCGCUCCAGUGCACAGGAGUUUCCUCCAAGACCUCUUAUUCACCUUUGUAUUACCUGCUCUUGGCCCAGUGUCUCAGUUCAUGCCCUGUUAAGGUUGGUUGACUUGUUAAGCUGAACUCUGUUCCUUUGUUUUUGCAGCAGAGCUUUGUUUCUCUCUAUGCCGACUGGGGAAGAAACCCUGCAUUGGUUGCAUAUUUGAUACCCAAUUAAUAUGUUACAAGCUGUUUCAGGUUGUAGAAGUCAUGGAGCCUGGUUGGAGUGAUGUUGAUCAGUCACAUGACUGUGCAAAGCAGGUGAGAGUUAUGGUUAUUCAUUCACUGUUGUCCUCUGGAGAGUCUCAUUGAUGAUUAGCUUGCUGGAAGAUAUGAGUUGGUAGUCCUCCGUCUGGUCUGGCCCUUCUUAGCCUCUGGCAGCUGAGAGAAAGAUGUGAAUUCUCUGCCCACAGACUGUCCAGUCUUGUGGGGCAGCCUGCCAAGAGUCUCAAGUCACAUGCCCAGGGAGUUGCUGCUACAUUUUUUCUUCCUUGUCUUUUUCAAGGCUGCCAUUGUUGGGCUUUCUGCCUAGUGUCCCUGAGUUGUAGCUCUUUUAGUUCUCUGGGUGCUGAACUCCAAGCAUUGCUGAGCAGCCGAUGCAAUUUUUAUUUUGGCUGAAUUACUUCCACCCAGUAGGCAAAGCGUGUUUUUUAUGAUGCCGCACUACCAGGCACGACUUGCUGCCGGGACCUGUAUGCUGAGCCUCUGGUCCUUGGUACCUGCAGCGUGCCCCAGAAUGUCCCCAAGCCGGGGUGUGCGGGAUGUGGUGCAAGAGGCAGCUUUUCCUCACCCAUGUCCUGAAAGAGAGAAACCCUAGUCCUGUGGUACAGGCCAUGAACUAACCCUCAUGCUUAGCUCUUUCUAGGUAGGAAUUCCAGAGCGUAUUCUCUUUGCAGAGCUGAGCCCUGAGCCUCUUCGUAAUAUCUUCAUAUACAAGAGUAUUCAGGCACCACAAGAAGGUUAGUACUUCAAGCUGUGUUGUAGUGGUAGUAUUGGAUUAAAAUUGAGCCUCUGCACACAUGGUCCUGGUCCAUGUGUUUGUGAAAUGGUUCAUGAGGUUAGAAGUUCAGUAGAUGGAUAUCUAGUGGGAUGAAAUGGAUUAAUCCUUAAGUUUAUUGAACCACUAACCUUCACUUUCCUUAACAUGGUGUUCUAAGUAAUAGCCGUGAUCUUAGCAUGACCCCAUCACCCUGAGCCACGUCUUCAGAUGAGUAAUAGGGAGAAAAGAGAAAACUGGGAGUCUGGAGGAGAACUUAGAAAAUUUUCUUUUUUCUUCCUUGUUUGGCAUUUUCUUUCCAUUUAAUUUCUGUGUUCUCUUAUGUGAGAAGCACUAUUGGAUUCAUGUAAAACCUAUAUUGUAAUAUUGACCCAUUCACUUUCCAACUGUGUAGCUCUGUAGCCCUUACUAUUCUCUAUGAGUUGUCAUUUCCUUCUCUGCAAAAACAAGAUGCUGCCACUACUUAGCUUACGUGGCUUUUUUAAACAUUAAGUGCUGUGUGAAGAAGUGUACUUGCAGCACUAUUCACAAUAGCCAAGACAUGGAAACAACCCAAAUGUCCAUCGACAGAUGAUUGGAUUCGGAAGAUGUGGUAUAUAUACACAAUGGAAUACUACUCAGCCAUAAAAAAGAAUGACAUAAUGCCAUUUGCAGCAACAUGGAUGGAACUAGAGAAUCUCAUACUGAGUGAAAUGAGCCAGAAAGACAAAGACAAAUACCAUAUGAUAUCACUUAUAACUGGAAUCUAAUAUCCAGCACAAAUGAACAUCUCCUCAGAAAAGAAAAUCAUGGACUUGGAGAAGAGACUUGUGGCUGCCUGAUGGGAGGGGGAGGGACUGGGAGGGAUCGGGAGCUUGGGCUUAUCAGACACAACCUAGAAUAGAUUUACAAGGAGAUCCCGCUGAAUAGCAUUGAGAACUAUGUCUAGAUACUCAUGUUGCAACAGAAGAAAUGGUGGGGGAAAAACUGUAAUUGUAAUGUAUACAUGUAAGGAUAACCUAACCCCCUUGCUGUACAGUGGGAAAAAAAAAAAAAGAAAAGAAAAAAAAAUCCUAAAUACCCACUGUACAGGCACUGAGUGAAGGAGAAGGCAGCUUCCUAGAGCUGUCAGCAGCCCCACGGGUAAUAGAAUAAAGCAGACAUGUGAGAGGGUGUGAUAGGUAGCUGCUGAGGAGGCCUGUGUACUGUGCAAAGACAGAGGGAGGACCCCCCCCUCCUGAAGCCAGUGGAGCAGAAGGGGUGGCAAAAAGUCCGGGGAGGGUUCCUGAAGGAAUGGGUUUUUGAACUGUGGCUUGUUGACGAGAAGGACGUUCCAGGCAGAGGGAACUACAUGGCAAAGAAAAGCAUGUAAAGUAGCAUGUGGAGUGCUGCGGUGAGCUACCUCAUUGUGUCGAUGUGUGACACGGAGUGCUGGAAGGGGAAGUUGAUGGCCGGCCCACGAAGGCCUUUCUGUCAUGCUCAGAAACUUGGUUUGUAUUUUUUAGAGAACGGGAUCUAGUCAUCCCAGGGCUCUGGGGUGCAGCCUGAUCAGAUUUGCAUCUUGGAAGCAUCCCUCUGUUCGGUGCUCUGGCGCAGAUUCUGUUGGUGGGAGACAAGAUGAGGAGAACCGGGGACAUUUGCUAAGAGGAUAGCGCAGGGGUUCUGAGGCCAGAUGGGAGGGUCUGAACUGAAAGCCUGUGGCAGAAGGGAUGAAGAGUACACCAACCAAGAGUAGCUGACGAGGUGAAAGCUUUGAUUCUUUCAUCUUAAAGGGUGGAGAAGCAUCCGGGGGAAUCAGAUUCUUGUCUUGGGUGCUUUGGAAUGGGAGAUUAAGGAAGAAGAGCAGAUUUUGGAAAAAAAAAAAUGAUAAAUUCAGUUUUGGUCACAUUGAAUUGUUGUUGCUUAUGGAAUGUGAUUCAAGGGAAGGGAACACGAGGAAGCAGUUCCAUAUUAUGGGUCCAGGGCUUAAGGGAGGUCAGAGCCAGAGACGUAGCUUUUCACCUUAAUCAAUAAUAGUAAAGUAGGAAACAAGAAGUAAAAUGGUCCCUUUGUCUUGCACUGUGACAGAAGGACAGACCUUCACAAUAUAUCACAAAUGACGUUGUCGUUAAAAAUGUCUGGCAGAUCCCCCUCCCCUCCUGCCUCAGUUCUGUCCUUAGUAGAGAUGGACUGUUGUUACCUCCCUUUUCUCUCUCGAUUCCCACAGGGCCUUUUGGUUUGAAAUACUGCUUUGAAAUUAAAUAAAUGAUUUUUAUUUUUUUCCAUUAUAAAAAUCAUUUAUUUAAUUUCAAAGCAAUGAAAUUAAACAAGAUUGAAUUUUUUGAAGGGUCUUAAAUUUUAAUGCGAUACUUUGCAUAACUCCAUGCUGCAUUUUAAUGUGGCUCAGCAUAGCUUCUGUUGCCUCUGGGGGUGCUUCUCAGUAAUUUACUAUUAUUAUUUUGUCAUUAACUCUCAGACAAAAGUUGGGAGAACAAUUAGGAUGUAUUCCCUAGGCUGUAAAAGGGUUAAGUGUAAGUGUCUCGGCUACAAUGGCUUUUUGUCUUCUCCCUCAGCACACCCUGCCUUCCCUCUCCUGGGGGCUCUGCAGUUUUACUUCAGAGUCAGUAUGUCACUGAGGGGCAGCAUUCAGUGACAGAGUUGUUGCAGCUUGGAAUUUUUGGAUAAUGUUCCACAUCGUUACCUUUCUUCCUACCAUUCCCUCUUCUUUUCUCUGCAGGGAAGACAGACUUCACCUUAUUUCGGUGGACCUUAGGAAAUCAUAUCCUUGCAUGUUCUCAUUCUGGAGUUCCUGUCGUGGCUCAGUGGUUAACAAACCCGACUAGUAUCAUCAAUGAGGACGUGGGUUCCAUCCCUGGCCUUGCUCAGCAGGUUAAGGAUCUGGCGUUGCCGUGAGCUGUGGUGUAGGUUGCAGACGCAGCUUGGAUCCUGUGUGGCUGUGACUGUGGUGUCGGCUGGCAGCUACAGCUCCAACUGAUUUGACCCUUAGCCUGGGAACCUCCGUAUGCCUCAGGUGUGGCCUUAAUAAGACAAAAGAUG
RNAcentral lists this long non-coding RNA (4158 nucleotides) under Sus scrofa (pig). Its description in RNAcentral is "lncRNA (ENSSSCG00005037210.1)". Lineage: Eukaryota; Metazoa; Chordata; Mammalia; Artiodactyla; Suidae. The record is from RNAcentral.